Molecule: long non-coding RNA, 494 nt
Organism: Rhinopithecus roxellana (golden snub-nosed monkey)
Lineage: Eukaryota; Metazoa; Chordata; Mammalia; Primates; Cercopithecidae
Exons: 4
Source: RefSeq, a predicted model, not a curated record
CUGUCUUUUGUUACAGGAGUCUGUCUCACCUACAAACUUAUGAGGGUCACAGAAAACACCCACAAACUUAUGAGGAUCAUGGAAAACACCCCUACCCCAACUUAGAGCCAAUCUAUUCAAGCUGCAUUGUUAGCACGUCACCUCUCCUGGAUCUCUGCCUAUAGUGACCAGUUAAGAAUGGAAGGAGGAGAUUUUUCAGCUUUUGAAGUCCACAUGCCUUCAAGGAAAUUCUUCAAAAACAGCCAAGAUAUUUUAUGAUGAGGAGCUACAGAACAGGGUACAUGCCCCACAGUCUUCAAUACUUUUUAUUAUUGUUUCAAAAAAACUGGAUAAAUUCAUUGUGAACAUCACAGACUUGAAAGUCAUUCUUACCAUGCCUUUGAGAAUGUCUAUGGUUAUCAUAGCCAUCAUUUCAAAGGAAAAGAAUUCUUUAACUAUUAUUGUAUAUACAAUUUUGAAUUAAAAAAAUCAAGUUACAUUGUUAUUGAAAUUAA